Molecule: ribosomal RNA, 455 nt
Filed under: uncultured bacterium
Lineage: Bacteria
Description: bacterial SSU rRNA
Rfam family: Bacterial small subunit ribosomal RNA
Source: RNAcentral
GAUGAACGCUGGCGGCGUGCUUAACACAUGCAAGUCGAACGUGAGAAUAGCAAUAUUUGAAAGUGGCAAACGGGUGAGUAACACGUGGGAACCUGCCUCGAAGUGGGGGAUAACGAUUGGAAACGGUCGCUAAUACCGCACGGUUCUGCUCUGAUGGGAAUGGAGCAGAUAAAGAUUUAUCGCUUUGAGAGGGGCCCGCGGCCGAUUAGCUAGUUGGUAAGGUAAAGGCUUACCAAGGCGAUUAUCGGUAGCUGGUCUGAGAGGACGAUCAGCCACACGGGAACUGAGACACGGUCCCGACUCCUACGGGGGGCAGCAGUGAGGAAUAUUGGGCAAUGGGCGAAAGCCUGACGCAGCAACGCCGCGUGGGGGAUGAAGGCUCUCGGGUUGUAAACCCCUUUCAGCAGGGACGAAUCAAGACGGUACCUGCAGAAGAAGCCCCGGCUAACUACGUG